ACAGCAGCAGCCGCGGGAAUACGAAGGGGGCUAGCGUUGUUCGGAAUCACUGGGCGUAAAGGGUGCGUAGGCGGAUUCUUAAGUCAGGGGUGAAAUCCCGAGGCUCAACCUCGGAACUGCCUUUGAUACUGGGGAUCUUGAGUCCGGAAGAGGUGAGUGGAACUGCGAGUGUAGAGGUGAAAUUCGUAGAUAUUCGCAAGAACACCGGUGGCGAAGGCGGCUCACUGGUCCGGAACUGACGCUGAGGCACGACAGCGUGGGGAGCAAACAGGAUUAGAUACCCCUGUAGUCCCUGUCUCUUAUAC
Molecule: ribosomal RNA, 305 nt
Filed under: uncultured bacterium
Lineage: Bacteria
Description: partial 16S ribosomal RNA
Rfam family: Bacterial small subunit ribosomal RNA
Source: RNAcentral